RNAcentral lists this ribosomal RNA (350 nucleotides) under gamma proteobacterium WD594. RNAcentral's name for it is "bacterial SSU rRNA". It matches the Rfam family "Bacterial small subunit ribosomal RNA", at positions 387 to 729 of the family's 1533-position model. The record is from RNAcentral. Lineage: Bacteria; Pseudomonadati; Pseudomonadota; Gammaproteobacteria.
UGCAGCCAUGCCGCGUGUGUGAAGAAGGCCUUCGGGUUGUAAAGCACUUUCAGUAGGGAGGAAAGGGUGAGUCUUAAUACGGCUCAUCUGUGACGUUACCUACAGAAGAAGGACCGGCUAACUCCGUGCCAGCAGCCGCGGUAAUACGGAGGGUCCGAGCGUUAAUCGGAAUUACUGGGCGUAAAGCGUGCGCAGGCGGUUUGUUAAGCGAGAUGUGAAAGCCCUGGGCUCAACCUAGGAAUAGCAUUUCGAACUGGCGAACUAGAGUCUUGUAGAGGGGGGUAGAAUUCCAGGUGUAGCGGUGAAAUGCGUANAGAUCUGGAGGAAUACCGGUGGCGAAGGCGGCCCCC